UACGGGGGGAGCAAGCGUUGUUCGGAUUUACUGGGCGUAAAGGGCGCGUAGGCGGCCAGCACAAGUCAGUUGUGAAAUCUCCCGGGCUUAACUCGGAAAGGUCAACUGAUACUGUGCGGCUAGAGUGCAGAAGGGGCAACUGGAAUUCUCGGUGUAGCGGUGAAAUGCGUAGAUAUCGAGAGGAACACCUGCGGCGAAGGCGGGUUGCUGGGCUGACACUGACGCUGAUGCGCGAAAGCCAGGGGAGCGAACGGG
Molecule: ribosomal RNA, 255 nt
Filed under: uncultured bacterium
Lineage: Bacteria
Description: partial 16S ribosomal RNA
Rfam family: Bacterial small subunit ribosomal RNA
Source: RNAcentral